This 288-nucleotide small nuclear RNA is filed under the name Meriones unguiculatus (Mongolian gerbil). RNAcentral's name for it is "7SK RNA (ENSMUGG00000010553.1)". It matches the Rfam family "7SK RNA". From Rfam's summary of the family: 7SK was discovered as an abundant small nuclear RNA in the mid-70s but a possible function has only recently been suggested. Two independent studies have found that 7SK RNA binds the CDK9/cyclin T complex (known as elongation factor P-TEFb). The record is from RNAcentral. Lineage: Eukaryota; Metazoa; Chordata; Mammalia; Rodentia; Muridae.
GGAUGUGAAGGCAAUCUGGCUGUGGCAUCUGUCAUCCCAUUGAUCACCAGGCUUAAUUCGGCCGAUCUUGCUAGCUAGGCAGGUGUCCCCUUCCUCCCGUACAGCUCCAUGGGCAUCCCUCCCAAAGCUAUACACCCAGUAGAAGAGAAUGACCUUCCCCAAAUAGAAGAGGACCCAUCUUAGGUCAAGGGUAUACGAGUAGAUGUGCUCCCUGAUAGAACCUCCAAACAAGCUCAAGAGUCUGGGGACCCCGCUUCCACAUAAAUGCCAAGUGGUCAGCAGGAGUUU